This 628-nucleotide long non-coding RNA is filed under the name Elaeis guineensis (African oil palm). Its description in RNAcentral is "long non-coding RNA (EGUI_LNC009204)". The record is from RNAcentral. Lineage: Eukaryota; Viridiplantae; Streptophyta; Magnoliopsida; Arecales; Arecaceae.
GUUGGGUUGAUAGAGUUGUGUUGGCUUUAUAAGCAAAUAGUCUUAAUUUUUUCUUUUGAUGGAUGAAAUUUGUCAACUUGUCUACUUUAAAUGCCCCAUCCAAAGUUCAACCAUAUUUUGGUCUAGUCCAAUUAAGGGUGACUUGAAUUUUUUCGAGUCAUCAAAAAGCCAACACAAAUCUAGUAUAGGGAAGAUGAUGUCAAAAUCUAAUACCAAUUCUACCAAUGAAUAAUGAUUUUGCUCCUAAUAAUACCAAAAAAAAUGAGUUGUAAUUAGUUGUUAGUCUUCCUUAUAGUAAUAGUAGCUUCUAUGUUGUAUAGAAGCAUUGGCCAGCCUUAAAGCACAAUAUGAUGAGAUGAAGAAGAGCAUGGAGGAUACUAAGGUUGAAUGGGGUUGUUGUCACUCCUAUAAUGGGUAUCACUCGAAUGAUUGUAUCUCCUCAGUCUAAGGAGUAUGACUGACUGUAAAAGAUUGUUAAGGAGAUCAACAAAUUCUUAUGUCACAUGAAGAGGUACUUUGAGAUGCUCAACUAUAAAGAAAAAAAGCUCAAAGUAAGGAUAGCUAUCCUUGUCUUGUUGUUCUUGCUGCUGUGCAGUGCUUCGAAAAUAUAUAAAAAUAGAAAAGGGUA